UGAGAGCCCCACUCUGGAGUCAAUAGUUUAUAACUGAGUGAUAAUAUAUAAGAUAGUAAUGGUACCUACAGUAACUCACACGCUAAAUGCAUUUUUGAGAUUGGCAAAAAUGUCAAGGUUAAUUUAGCGCAACGCAGCUCUAUUGAACAGAUAUGCUUUGAUGUCAUCAUUCCUUAGAUCUUAUUGGACAGUAAGAAUUGCCGAUGUUAGACGACAGUGGUGUCUGUUGACAUCAUUAUUGCUGUAUUCUGCGCAUAUCAGAGCACUAACAAGCCAGGUUUCUUGAGUCCAAGAGCACAUUAACCUAUGCCAUCCGUCAAACACUCCCGUCGGGGUAUUGCUUGAGUCUGUAAAACUCCUGCAGUAUCCAGCAGUGACAUUAUUGUAUCGAGUCUAAAAGGGAAUUCUGCUGGGAGAAAGAGAGCUACAGUGUGAAAUUGGAUAUUUUGAAGCAGCAUCAGCAGGGAGGAAGAGCCUACCGAGUGCGUAACGAUGGGUACCCUCUCUGGGGGUGCGGAUAUCAAAAGAAGCAGCCCGUUCAGACACACGCCCGCGUGGAACAGAGACGCCAAAUGACAAGACAUAAGUUACAAAGAGGUUUUGUUCGACACAAGAGGGGAUUUCAUUCUGCACUGACAACAAUACAAAUCCUGUUCUACUCGUCUCCAAGGGCUGAUCGCCGGACCGGUGCGUUUUACGCACAUCUUUUCCUGGAAUAACCACCCUGCCCCGACGUGGAUCAGCUGUUGUCAGCCUGAGCUGAAGGUGACCUGUUGGCUGGGCCAGGGGCUGCAACACAGGACAUGGGUCCUGCCUCUCCUCCCCGCUCGUGUCUUGUGUUGCAGCCAGUGGAUCUGCCUGUCUGCCUCUCCGCAAGUCUGUCCGCCCACCGCUGCUGGACUGAGCUCCCAGAACAGAUGGAUUUCACCAACCUUGGACCUGUCGACCCUGCUCCUCACUUUACAGCUCGCUUGUACAUUAUCACUAUCAUUCUAAGUAUAAUGUAUAAUUUUUAAAAUUGACAUAUUGUCCUCUCACAAGGCAAUAAAGUACUUAAGUAAAAA
Larimichthys crocea (large yellow croaker) is the source of this 1064-nucleotide long non-coding RNA. RefSeq lists it as uncharacterized. The record is from RefSeq and is a predicted model, not a curated record. The transcript has 2 exons. Lineage: Eukaryota; Metazoa; Chordata; Actinopteri; Sciaenidae.